AAUUCAGCUUUACUAAAUGGUUGUCUGGAAAUUUGGAGUUGUAAUUUAGUGUCGUCCUUUAUAGAAGAGGAAGUGAGUAGACAUUUAGCAAUUGUUAGCUUUUUUCCAUCAAAAACUGAAUUACAAAGGCUUACAACAGAAGAUCGUUUAAUCUGUCUGCAACUUGUAGUCAAUGUUAGACACCUUAAGAGCAAUUCUUCCU
Schizosaccharomyces pombe (fission yeast) is the source of this 202-nucleotide non-coding RNA. The record is from the annotation of a GenBank genome assembly. Lineage: Eukaryota; Fungi; Ascomycota; Schizosaccharomycetes; Schizosaccharomycetales; Schizosaccharomycetaceae.